Non-coding RNA from Cajanus cajan (pigeon pea), 2005 nucleotides. The record is from RefSeq and is a predicted model, not a curated record. Lineage: Eukaryota; Viridiplantae; Streptophyta; Magnoliopsida; Fabales; Fabaceae.
GAUAUAGUAUUGAAAAUGUUCUACGUCUACUCAACAUGACCGAUGUAGCAUUGAGUUCUCAUAUCGAAAACCAUCUCAAGAACCUAUCUAGAAACACAUUGGAUCAUCUUCGUUCUACUUCUCUAGCCAAAUUCUUGAUUCCUUCCCAAGCAUUGAAUUCUUCUGAACGUUCCGUCUCGUCCCUCUCGUCAAACGCUCCAUCUCGUCAAACUCAUUAGCCCUCUUCGAAUGGGCUCCCUCUUGUGAUGACCCACCUCCCUCGAAACCCUCGACAACGUCGUCAAUAGAGAGUUUAGAAAUGGUUCCCUUUUUCGUUGGUUCAGAAACCCUCGAAACCCUCCCACAAACACGAUAUCAUUCUCCUCCUCUUUGGAAACACAAUCAAUUUAUUCCAAAUUAAGGCCCUCUUUGACUGUGACGACGACGAAACCUAACGAUUGCAAGCAACAGAGGUUCUCCAAGGGGGAAGUGAUGAUUAGAAAGGUUAGAGAAGAAUUAGAGGGGGAAGGCCAAUCGAAAGAUUCUGGAAAAGUUUUUGGAAUGGCAGCAAUUUAGAGUCUUUACAUCAUCAACAAGUCUGGUGGAUUGAUAUAUUAUAAGGAUUAUGGGUCUGCUGGACGAAUGGAUACCAAUGACAGCUUGCGUGUGGCAAGUUUAUGGCAUUCAAUGCAUGCUAUCUCUCACCAGUUAUCACCUGUUUCAGGUAAAAUAUGUAGCUGCUGGGUUGCUAAAUUCAGCUUGUACUGAUGGUACUUGAAUCUAAUUAAAUCUUUUAUUUUUCUUUUUUUCUCAUUUCAUGUCUGGUUGUACUAUGCAUUAGGAAUUUUUUUUGCUAUAUCUUGAUGUAAAUGUUGCAGAAAAUGGUUCUGUUUUUAUAUUCGGUGAAAGAGGGAUUGACAAAUUGGUAUGUUCAAUCACAAGUGAUUAUUUUAGUUCAGUGGUUCUACUUUACAUUUUGGAGUGGAGUAAUUUGCCCGAGUUCAAAAGAUAUUCUCCAAUCAUACAUAACUUAUAUGCACUUUUUGUUCUCUCCAACCAACCUUAAUGUCUUGAUCAUUCUUCAAAUUGGAAUUUGAAUUAGUACAUUUUGUUUUUCUAUAUUUAGAUCAAUUCCUAUGAUGACUAUUUUGUUUUUCUAUAUUUAGAUCAAUUCUUAAGAUAAAGUCCUAUUGUUUAAGUCAUUUUUGAAGUUAUUACUUUCUAACUUGUUACUUUUCUUUCUUCAGAAGCUCACACAAUUAGGUGUGGAGAGGCUUAUUUUUCGUGUUGUUCCUAGUGUGCUAGAAACAUGGACGGACUCUUUUAGCUUCGCAAAGAUGACUAAUUUUGAGAGAUCUCAAUUUCUGGACUAUACUUUCCUAGAUUUUCAGGGUACCAUCAUGUGCUAGAAGCUAUUGACAAAUAUUCCACCUCGAGAUUUUCAUGGGAUGUUUUACAAUGUGACAUGGAUGCAACAGAGGACCAUAGCUAUUCAUUGAAUAUUAAGUUUAAGUCUAGUUUCUUUCGAGCUAAUUUAAAUUAUCACAAAUUUUUUGAUAAUAUUUACUGCAUCUCCAAGUGAUACUUUCUCUGAAUUUUUUAUUGUUAAAAGUUUCCUUUAUUUCAUUACUCAGGGACUUCUGCUGAUCUUAAACCAGUUAAUCAAGGAUCCUUAACAAUUCAUGGUCUGCACUUGAAUGUGCUAUUUUUGAGGAAGAUGAGCUUUUUCACUGAUAAAAAGGAAAUUCAGAGGUCUGCUACAGCUCUGAGGUUUAUUUGCUAGUGGAACAUAUAUAUGUCGGAAGAAAAUUUACAAGAAAAUUUACGUUGGUUAAAAGUUCAGUGAUUGUGUGGAAUUGUUUUAGACUCUAGUGUUUACAAAUAAAUUAUUGUAAGUAGGAAGAAGUGCCUAUUAAUUUCGAAUUCACAAGUCUUUCUAAAUUUCUAUGUAAGUUUGUAUUUGCAUUUGAUGGUUUAUUAAUAAAUUAAAGCAGUAUGUUAUAAUCAAAUUCCAUUCUAAUGAGCU